This 301-nucleotide ribosomal RNA is filed under the name uncultured bacterium. Its description in RNAcentral is "partial 16S ribosomal RNA". It matches the Rfam family "Bacterial small subunit ribosomal RNA", at positions 509 to 807 of the family's 1533-position model. The record is from RNAcentral.
CAGCAGCCGCGGGAAUACGUAGGGUGCGAGCGUUAAUCGGAAUUACUGGGCGUAAAGGGCGUGUAGGCGGCCUGGGGCGUCCCAUGUGAAAGGCCACGGCUCAACCGUGGAGGAGCGUGGGAUACGCUCAGGCUAGAGGGUGGGAGAGGGUGGUGGAAUUCCCGGAGUAGCGGUGAAAUGCGCAGAUACCGGGAGGAACGCCGAUGGCGAAGGCAGCCACCUGGUCCACUUCUGACGCUGAGGCGCGAAAGCGUGGGGAGCAAACCGGAUUAGAUACCCCGGUAGUCCCUGUCUCUUAUAC